UUAUCUUUCUUCUCAGCUCGAGUGACAGCUUACUGAUAUACCUUUUAUUUUCAGAUAUCUCUCUCUAUUGCUGUCUGUUCUUUGUUUCUUUCUUUAGGGUUAUGAGUUUGAACUCAGAUUCUUGACUUCAAUUGUUGGGUAAAACAACAUGCAAUUUCAGAAAUGAAAAGAGAAGAAGAAGACGAACUCAAGGAGGUAUAGUGGUUCGAUGAUUCUUCACCUACAUCCACUUUAGAAACAAUCUUCAAGACUGUUAUUCAUCCUUCAAGAUUUACAAUUUCAGAUUCUACAGAAUAUGAGAGCUGGAGCUGAGCUUGGAGACAGGAGCUGGAGCUUUUUCAUUCACCUCAACACAUUUGCCUCUUGAAGCAAAAAACUCCUUGAAGAUCUUUGUCGUGAGGUAGCGGUCAUAUUCCUCAAGGUUGAUCCUGCUGCUGCUUGUCACUGAAAGACUCGGCUUAUUAAGAAGACUUAGGUUGAUGAUCUGUUUAUGUACACAUGUUUUGAGAGGGACUAGGGCUUUGUUAGAGUUGUUUGGGACCAUCUGUGGAUAUUUUUCCCUUAGACGUUAUGUCAUGGCUGUAUGCUUAUGUUUAUAUAAUAUUUUAUAGAAUCUUAAGGUAGCAUACAUUAUUAAUGUUUAAUAGGUUGGCAUUUAGAUUAGAAGGCUAAGGUGGUGAGUGCUGGCAGCAAGGCUAGUAACUACUGCGGUCAUAUCCUCUUUCAGAUUAAGAGGGUAAUCUGGGAGGGGGUGUGACAUUAUAUGUGUCAAACCAUCUAUAUUUGAACAUAAAAACAUGUCUUCUGUUCGCCUAUUGAAAAUCCAAUACUUCGUCUAAGACAUCGUUAAAAUUA
Molecule: long non-coding RNA, 855 nt
Organism: Benincasa hispida (wax gourd)
Lineage: Eukaryota; Viridiplantae; Streptophyta; Magnoliopsida; Cucurbitales; Cucurbitaceae
Source: RefSeq, a predicted model, not a curated record